Long non-coding RNA from Maylandia zebra (zebra mbuna), 623 nucleotides. RefSeq lists it as uncharacterized. The record is from RefSeq and is a predicted model, not a curated record. Lineage: Eukaryota; Metazoa; Chordata; Actinopteri; Cichliformes; Cichlidae.
CCCGCCAACAUCAAAGGAGGUAAAGGAUGGUUUGGUAUCUCUGUGUGCCUGUGCCUUCCAAUGUAUAAAACAGCCCGGCUUUCAGCCCCAAGACACAGGCGGGGAGCUGCCGAGGAAAUUUAAUUUCACGACUACCACAUUGCUACCUGGCAGAGGUCAGCCUAACUCCCUGCACCAGCAGCAGCAGCAGCAGCUGGCAGCGUGACCAGCACUGAAUAUCAGCACAGAGUCUCUAAACCACCGCACAAACACAAGACACUUCACCUCGCAGCCAUGGAGCAUGACAUCAAUCCUUUGAUGGGUUUCAACUCUGGCUUCUUUAAGUUGGAUGUCAACCCGUUAUUUGGAUAUCGGGAAAUAAUGCACCUCGCCCAUUGAAAGAAGAGGACAUGAGACCUUCAUCCUCUCACAGUCAUCAGUCGUGCUCACCCUGAACAUCCAGGAUAGCUGUAGAUUUUCUGGAAUCAUUCAAAGGGUGUAUGUGGUCGUCUGUCACUUUAUAUAUAAAUGAAUAGAUAAAUAGCAGUAGCCGAGGCUAUGCCACUCAUGCUAACAUCUCCAACUUUAAUAGUAACUCCCAACAUAUUAUUACUCCCACCAGACAAAAACAUAGACACCAAUGU